This 412-nucleotide small RNA is filed under the name Histoplasma capsulatum var. duboisii H88. RNAcentral's name for it is "Histoplasma capsulatum H88 hypothetical RNA". The record is from RNAcentral. Lineage: Eukaryota; Fungi; Ascomycota; Eurotiomycetes; Onygenales; Ajellomycetaceae.
CAUUCCUUGACACGGGGGAUCCAUUGACAAAACGAGAUAAAAAUCUCUCUCGGUUCCUGGUGGCUUAGGAUGUUGACUGGCAGAACGAGGAUAUUAUAUCAAAUAGAGUACUCUCCGUUCACUUGGACUUUCUUUCCCACUGAACUCGGAGACUACAUGUCCCUCAUCGGGCGAUGCUAGUGGAGGUCAGCUGAAGAACUCGGAGAUUUCGACUUUGGCAUUGCGGGCUGACUUUGCUCCAUCGGACCGUAGCAAAUGCCUGGUUGAUCGCUUCGGUGGCGAACUCUAUAAACACAAACGCGGGGUGUUUACGAGAAAUGAUGGCGGUUGCUUGCUGGGGGUCCGAGGACCUUGAGCCCAACUACGCGCGGUGGCGCUGUCUGGAACGGACAGCCCAGAAUUAAGUUACGGC